ACAUUAGUCUAUUUCACAGGGCUCCAUGUCAGAGCAGGCUGUCACCUCAAGCCAUUGUCUGGCUUCUGAGCCAGGAAGCUAUUAAGUACUGAAGUGGAUUGCAAGUAA
Molecule: small nucleolar RNA, 108 nt
Organism: Vulpes vulpes (red fox)
Lineage: Eukaryota; Metazoa; Chordata; Mammalia; Carnivora; Canidae
Source: Ensembl